CUAAUUUAAAUUAAAUGGCUUCGAAUUAAAAACCUUAAAUCCCUCCUCACCUGUCAAUCUCUUGAUGUUUUUGAUGCUAGAAUCAGAUUCUACACCUCGAAACCUUCGAUUUGGAUACUUGAACGCUGAAAUCUGAGUCCGAUAACGCUUCCAAAUCUUCGUUUGAAUCUCAAGAACACGAAAACACUCUCUCUAUAAACCCGUGUUUAACUGAGAUUAUGAUUUCCCCGAUGAAUUAGAG
This 241-nucleotide long non-coding RNA is filed under the name Daucus carota (carrot). RNAcentral's name for it is "long non-coding RNA (DCAR_LNC001877)". The record is from RNAcentral. Lineage: Eukaryota; Viridiplantae; Streptophyta; Magnoliopsida; Apiales; Apiaceae.